Molecule: ribosomal RNA, 512 nt
Filed under: uncultured bacterium
Lineage: Bacteria
Description: bacterial SSU rRNA
Rfam family: Bacterial small subunit ribosomal RNA
Source: RNAcentral
AACGAACGCUGGCGGCGUGCUUAACACAUGCAAGUCGAACGCGAAAGGGACUUCGGUCCUGAGUAAAGUGGCGCACGGGUGAGUAACGCGUAGAUAACCUGUCUUCAUGUCUGGAAUAAUACGCCGAAAGGGGUACUAAUACCGGAUAUUCUUGCUUUUCAUAAGUUAUGCAAGCAAAGGUGGCCUCUGCAUAUGCUACUGCAUGAAGAGGGGUCUGCGUACCAUUAGCUAGUAGGUGGGGUAAUGGCCUACCUAGGCGACGAUGGUUAGCGGGUCUGAGAGGAUGAUCCGCCACACUGGCACUGGAACACGGGCCAGACUCCUACGGGAGGCAGCAGUGAGGAAUAUUGCGCAAUGGGGGAAACCCUGACGCAGCGACGCCGCGUGAGUGAGGGAAAGGCCUUCGGGUCGUAAAGCUCUGUCAAGAGGAAAGAAGUGUACAAUGGCUAAUACCUGUUGUAUUUGACGGUACCUCUAAAGGAAGCACCGGCUAACUCCGUGCCAGCAGCAGC